CUUUUUUUCAGCCAGAACUCAGUUCCGGCACCUCUCAGGUGAGUGCCAUUGCUAUUAUAAGAGAACAAGGGAGGUAUUCAUGGUGAGUUUCAGCACCUCUUUUUCUAGAAAAAUAACACUGCUGGCACCCAUUAGUAAUCUGUACCCCUCAUUCACCUCCAGGGAUUGCCCACCUUUUUUAUACCUGGAAGAAGCAUAAACCAAGUAACAAGGCUUUUGAAAGCUAGAACACGUCACCAAGUUAUAGUAACAACAGGUGAGUACAAAAUCUGGCGCAAUGUGUUUAUGCUCCCAGGUAGCAAAAAAAUGAUGGGUUGACUUGCUUCCUUUUGUCCUAGAAUCUGAUUUGCAAAAGAGAGUAGGGCUCCAGUUAAUUAAUCACAUCAAUCUUAUUAGUUGCUCACUAUAACAAAUUAUCCAAGUGAUAUACAAAAACAUUCAGAGCUGAAAAGGCAUAAGGCAUUUGCUAGAACUGUGAUCACUGUUUCCAGUUGGGUCAACAACCCUAACACAAAACAAGUGUAAGUGCACUCCCAAGUGCACUUAAGAUUAAGUCCAGAGUUGUUGCUCCUCUGGUCAGUUCCAUAACCAAUUGUUCUAGGUCACAGUCAAUCGGAGUAUCUAGACCUCUUUGUCAUGACCAGAUCCCACGUGUACACAAGUCUACGUGAGGGUAACUGAAAUUACACAUCGCUAUGGCACUUCUUCCUUUGGAAGCUUACUUGAUUUCAUUCUCCGUAUAAAGAUCACCUGGGCAUUUUGGUCAGGGAGACAACAUUACGUUCCAAGUACUAAAUUACUCUUGGGGUCCAGAAUCUCCACCCACAGAAAUUCUGUGGAAGAGUCUGCUUCUUUGGGGAUUUCUGCUUUGAUGAACUUUAAUAUACAGAGCAAGACCACCUCUGGUAUAUGGCUGCUGAUCCUUCCUAUGUAGCCUGUAUCCAGAGAUGAGUGUCCUGUUCCACUCUUCCAUCUCUCCAUUCCACCAGGUUUUGAUUAUGUCCACUGUGCUCUCCUUUGAGAUGAAGCCCUCCAGUUUGCCCAGCUUGACUCAAAGGCUUCUAGUCUGGGCAUACUACGAUUACCGUAUUUUUCGCUCUAUAGGACGCACUUUUCCCCCUCCAAAAAUGAAGGGGAAAUGUGUGUGCGUCCUAUGGAGUGAAUGCAGGCUUUCGCUGAAGCCUGGAGAGCGAGAGGGGUCGAUGCGCACCGACCCCUCUCGCUCUCCAGGCUUCAGGAAGCUAUCUGCAAGCCUUCGGAGCGCGGCGGGAGUGCCCACCGUGCUCCGAAGGCUUGCAGAUAGCAGUCUGCAGCCCGAAGCCCAGGGAGCGCUGCGCAGCGCACCCCAGGCUUCGGGCAGAUAUCUGCAAGCCUUGGGAGCCGGGAGGGAGAUCCCACCGGGCUCCCAAGGCUUGCGGAUAGCAGCCUGCAUACCGACCUGGUUUGGAGCCUGACGGUGGGGAAAGCAGCGCUUCUCCCCACCGCCAGCCCCACAAGCUCGGGGGACAGCGGGGAGGUGGAGCGCCGUCUUCCCGCUGUUCCCCGACCUGGUUUGGAGGCUGGCGGUGGGGGAAAGCAGCGCUUCUCCCCACUGCCAGCCCCACAAGCUCGGGGGACACCGGGGAGGCGCAGCGCCGUCUUCCCGCUGUUCCCCGACCUGGUCUUUGGGGCUGGCAGUGGGGGAAAGCAGCGCUCCCCCCCCCCACCAGCCCCAAAGAGCAGGUCGAAAGGAACCCAAAGCCUCCAGAGCCCAACAGGAACUCCCGCUGGGCUCCGGAGGCUUCGGGUGAACGCACCUUGAACGCACAGAACGCACCUUGUUUUAGAGGGGGAGAAGAAGAAAAAAAAUUUUUUCCUGUUCUCCCCCUCCUAUGGUCCGGUGCGUCCAGUAGAGCAAAAAAUAUGGUAUGUACUGGGUUUCUCACGCACCCUUCACUACAAGUUCCGAGGGCAAGUUACAACAUUAUACAAUAAUAAUAAUAAUAUUAGAAACGGUUAAAACAAGUUACUACAGUCAGAAGAACUGGGUGGAUCCUAAAGUCUAUAAAUCUCAGGUAUCAAAAGGCCAGUGGAGAGACAUAUGAAGAACCCUAUAGAAGGGAGGGGCCACACAAACCUUAGUGGGGAGAAAAUUCCACAGGUUGGGGCUCCCACAGGUAAGGCCAUCUCUUUGACCUCCCCCUCAAACCCACAAUUGCCCCACCUGCUGAAACACUGCCCCUGCUUCUGAGUGAUGGCUGAAUCAGGAGAAGUGCAGCACCUCGCAGAUUUACUGAAUUCCUGCCCAGACGACUCUGUGGGCAACCCUAUUAGCAAGGACAACAUUUUCUUGGUUAGAAGUAUUUGGGGUACCAGGCAAAAGUCCCAGUUCACCCUUUGCAAAUCAGUUUUGUGAUACAGAGCCCAAAUUAUAUAAACUGAUUAAUUUGCAUUGAAUGAUUGUGAUUUUAUAAUGUUCUAAUUUAAACAAGUCAAGCAAUUUAAAUAAAUCAUAGUACAGUUUUAAUUUAAACAAAAGUGUAGGAGGACCCAGCUAAACAUCAGGGUGGACUCUCUUUCCUUGGAUGAUUUUAAGCAGAGGUUGGAUGAACAUCUGUCAUUUAUGAUCUAGCUGAGAUUGCUACAUUGCAGGGGGUUGGUCUAGAUGACCCUUGGGACCCUUCAAACUCUACAAUUCUGAUUCUAUGACCCAGCAUCAGGCAUAUGAAAGGAAGAUCAUAGUUUUAAUUUAGUUUUCAUUCUUGCUUGCCUUGCCCUCACUCUAGCAAACUAAUCUCUCUCUCUCUUUCUCUCUCAAUCUCUAACCAUUAAACUGUGCUUUGUUGACUGCAAGUUCCUAAUUCUCUAGCCUUUUUUAAAUCUUCAGUUGUUUGUCAACACACAUCAAAGUGUCCUUAUAUAUUUCAGAAAGGAUUAGCAGGAAGGACACGGGCUUAGAAGGGGUGAGGAACGGAUGUUCAUUAGCAAGCAAUCAUCUUCUGGAAAGAAAAAAAUAAUGCUUAUGAUUAAAUGAACAGAAUUUGAAGAAGUCAAUUUUAAAUCUAGCUCAGAAGCGCAAACGGAUCAAAGAAGGGAAUAUAAAUACACCCCUUAGGCCAUGACUUGUUUUGGAAAUUCAGAAUAACCUAUAUCAUUUGAAAUGCAUGGACCUCCCUCAGUUGAAAUCCUCUGGACCAAACCAGUAUAAAUAUCAGACUGUGGACUCUCAGCUGCUCUUACAUAGCACAUCACUGGCAUUUCUAUGGGACAACUUCUAGCGACUGUGGUUGAGAAUCUGACUUUGCAGGCCCCUUCAAUCUCAUCUUGUCAGUUAUGUGUGUUAUGCUCUGCAUUGUUCUGUCUGGUUUUAUGAAAGUAGAGCAAUAAAUUAAGCAAUUCCUGCCUCUCAAGUUCUUUGCUUUAAUUUAAAUGACAACAUAUUAUACCUUUGCAGCACAUUAUUUCCCUCAAAGAAUUCUGGGCACUGUAGUUUCUUAAGGGUUGCUGGGAAUUGUAACUAUGUGAGGGAUAAACUACAGUACCCAGAAGUUUUGGGGGUGGGGUGUGCUUUGAAUGUACUUUGUAAAUAGAGGGUGGGGAAUGGUUUUCACAUUGAGUGUUGUAUUUCCUCAUGGAACCCUCUGGUGCCAGUAGUGGACAGGGCCACAAGCAAAAAUGAGUUGGGCAGUGGACAUGACUCUUUCUACGGUGGGCUACAUUCCAGCCAAAGGUUUCCACAACACACACACCCCUCCAUCCAGGCAAGAAAGACCCAUUCCCAAAUAUUCAAGGACACCAGUGUGAACAGGGCUGGGCAAAGAGUCCUAAGGGGCUGUAUAGUGAGAGGGCUAGAGAGCAUCAUUUAUGCCUUCAACCUGAGAUUCCCCAUACCUGAUCUAAAUACUGAAGGCAUAAAAACCAUACGUAGGAAGCCUCUGCAACACUAAUCAAUUAUGUCAUUUCUGGUGGAGUAGUGAAUUUGUAAUAGAGGAAAUCAUUAGGCACAUUUUACAAACCAAUCCAGUAUUGCGCCUCUUAUGAAUCUAUGAGGUGGCCCUGGAGCCCUUAUUGUAGCCUGUCCAUGGCCUUUGCAAACCUGGUACUCAUCAGUUGCCAUCAACUCCAGCCAAGACGGCUGAAUAAAGACUCCACAGUGUUGCUAUUGGUUGCAGCCAGUCAGGAAACAGGCCUGCACUGCAACACAUCUAUAGCGUGCUCCAUAAAACUCAUG
This 4210-nucleotide long non-coding RNA is filed under the name Podarcis lilfordi (Lilford's wall lizard). The record is from RNAcentral. Lineage: Eukaryota; Metazoa; Chordata; Lepidosauria; Squamata; Lacertidae.